AAGGCCCGCCGGUGGAAGACGACGGCAAGAACCAGAGCGGCGGCGCCGCUGGGUCGUCCCAGUCGGUCUUGAUCCGAGGCGUGCGCGCCGUCGGGGAGCUGAGAGGCGGCGUGACGGGGGCGCUGAUCGAUCCGCCGCGCAUGUAGAGGUGCUGGAGUUGGGGCGGAGGCGCUUUGGAGGCGGAAGAAGAAGCCGACGCGAGGCCGGUGAGGAAUGGCACCAGGGAGUUGACUUCGGAGGAGUUGACCGCCCCGUUGUGGCCGUUGGUGAUGUAGGAUGAUGAAGCUGGGCUCGGGAAAGAGGACGAUGCAGGGCUU
RNAcentral lists this long non-coding RNA (317 nucleotides) under Spirodela polyrhiza (greater duckweed). RNAcentral's name for it is "long non-coding RNA (SPOL_LNC002592)". Lineage: Eukaryota; Viridiplantae; Streptophyta; Magnoliopsida; Alismatales; Araceae. The record is from RNAcentral.